AGUGGCGGACGGGUGAGUAACGCGUGGGUAACCUGCCCUGUACAGGGGGAUAACAGUUAGAAACGACUGCUAACACCGCAUAAGCGCACGGUAAGGCAUCUUAGUGUGUGAAAAUAUUAAUAGGUACAGGAUGGGCCCGCGUCUGAUUAGCCAGUUGGCAGGGUAACGGCCUACCAAAGCGACGAUCAGUAGCCGGCUUGAGAGAGUGAACGGCCACAUUGGGACUGAGACACGGCCCAAACUCCUACGGGAGGCAGCAG
This 260-nucleotide ribosomal RNA is filed under the name uncultured bacterium. RNAcentral describes it as "partial 16S ribosomal RNA". It matches the Rfam family "Bacterial small subunit ribosomal RNA", at positions 94 to 354 of the family's 1533-position model. The record is from RNAcentral.